GAUGAACGCUGGCGGCGUGCCUAAUACAUGCAAGUCGAGCGAACAGACGAGGAGCUUGCUCCUCUGACGUUAUCGGCGGACGGGUGAGUCACUCGUGGAUAACCUACCUAUACGACUGGGAUAACUUCGGGAAACCGGAGCUACUACCGGAUAAUUUAUUGACUCUCAUGGUUCAAUAGUUGAAGAAGGUUUUUCUGUCACUUAUAGCUGGAUACGCGCAGCAUUAGCUAGUUGGUAAGGUAACGGCUUACCAAGGCGACGAUGCGUAGCCGACCUGAGCGGGUGAUCGGCCACACUGGAACAGAGGCACGGUCCAGACUCCGACGGGAGGCAGCAGUAGGGAAUCUUCCGCAAUGGGCGAAAGCCGGACGGAGCAACGCCGCGUGAAGGAUGAAGGUCUUCUGAUCGUAAAACUCUGUUAUUCGGGAAGAACAAAUGUGUAAGUAACUAUGCACGUCUUGACGGUACCUAAUCAGAAAGCCACGGCUAACUACGUG
Molecule: ribosomal RNA, 497 nt
Filed under: uncultured bacterium
Lineage: Bacteria
Description: partial 16S ribosomal RNA
Rfam family: Bacterial small subunit ribosomal RNA
Source: RNAcentral